This is a long non-coding RNA of Aquila chrysaetos chrysaetos, 328 nucleotides long. RefSeq lists it as uncharacterized. The transcript is spliced from 3 exons. NCBI's taxonomy places the organism in Eukaryota, Metazoa, Chordata, Aves, Accipitriformes, Accipitridae. The record is from RefSeq and is a predicted model, not a curated record.
GAACGAGGAACCGGAAGUGGUCUUCACAGUUGUCCUGUGAUAUAGCUCACAGCUGUGCCACUGGACUGGAAAUUAAGAAGGCCCUCCUGAAGAACUGAUGUUUCCUGAACAAAUAUAUACAGAAAUUGUACCACUCCAGAAGGCACAGAAAUCCAAUCUGAAACAAGAGGAAGCUGAGUCUUAAGGUUUCAUCAAAUGUCUCUCCUAACUCCCAGACUGGUUUGAACUUCUGAACAAAGGCCAGGAGAACAUUUAUAAAGACUCACCCAUCAAUUGCUAAAAAACUUGCAAUUUAAAAGUAACUGGGGAAAAAAGUAGAGAAAGGUCU